UUAAUUACGACUGUUUGUGCCAUGAAUUAUGAAAAUCUCGUUUGGACAAUAUUCAGUUCGUUUGAUUUUGCCGUUAUGACAGUGUUGUGUAAAAUACGUAUGGUCAUGGUGUAAUAAAUAAUAAAUUGAGUCAAAACCGAAACACAAACCAGCUGAUAUUAGUAGUAUUCUACUUUACUCUAUGUCAGUAUUAAACCGAAAAUUCUAAUAAUUAUUUAUCUGUGUGACUGUGUGUAAGGAAAGUAAGAAAAUGUUAAAGUUCCUCCCCCAGACAAAAAUCUAUUCUGUUUUUUUUUUUUUUAAUGGUGUGUUAAAUUGAAGUGAUUUUAGACUAGUUAUUUGUUCAUAAUGGUUGAAAAUAGAUAAAAAGUGUCAUUACUGGUUACUAUUUCAAUAUUUACUGUGAAAAAAGGAGUCAUAAAAGUAUAUCCAUCGAGAACUUAUGGAUUUCCAAAAUAUCUCAGCCGUAUUAAUAAUAGACGUAGAUAAUUACUUUUACAAUUUAGAAACAAUGCAAAGGAAAAUUGGUAUCUAUCACUAAACGACGUCUUAUCCAAUUAGACGAUUUAUUUAAGACAAGUAUCGACACUCGACAGCUAUUUCCAAAGUGGUUUUAUGAGAUAAAAAGGCGAAGAGGAGAUACAUUACAACAGUAAAUUCCACGAUAGUUUAUUGUGUUUCAAUAAAUAAAACAAACGUAUUACAACAUAAUACAUUUGUUAUUAAGUACAUAGAACUUU
Molecule: long non-coding RNA, 740 nt
Organism: Aphis gossypii (cotton aphid)
Lineage: Eukaryota; Metazoa; Arthropoda; Insecta; Hemiptera; Aphididae
Exons: 2
Source: RefSeq, a predicted model, not a curated record